This 763-nucleotide ribosomal RNA is filed under the name Cryocapulus subcompressus. RNAcentral describes it as "partial 16S ribosomal RNA". The stretch from base 1 to 586 matches the Rfam family "Bacterial large subunit ribosomal RNA", at positions 1811 to 2925 of the family's 2925-position model. Lineage: Eukaryota; Metazoa; Mollusca; Gastropoda; Littorinimorpha; Capulidae. The record is from RNAcentral.
AAACAUGGCUCUUUGAAUACAUAAUAUAAAGAGUCAGACCUGCCCAGUGAGAAAAACUUUAACGGCCGCGGUACUCUGACCGUGCAAAGGUAGCAUAAUCAUUUGCCUCUUAAUUAGAGGCUGGAAUGAACGGUUUAACAUGAGCAAGACUGUCUCUAUGCAAUUUUAUAAAAUUUAAUUUUUAGGUGAAGAAGCCUAUAUAUAAUUAAAAGACAAGAAGACCCUAUCGAGCUUUAAAAAAUUUAAAUGAAAUCUUUUAUAUUUAUAGAAAAAUUGCCUUUAAAAAUUUUAGUUGGGGCGACUAAGGAACAACAAAAACUUCUUUCUACUAACUAAGUUUACACACUUUGAUCCAGAAUUUUUGAUUAAAGAAAUUAGUUACCGUAGGGAUAACAGCAUAAUCUUUUUUGAGAGCUCUUAUCGAAAAAAAGGUUUGUGACCUCGAUGUUGGACCAGAAUAUCCUAAAGAUGCAACCGUCUUUAAGGGUUGGUCUGUUCGACCAUUAAAAUUCUACGUGAUCUGAGUUCAGACCGGCGUGAGCCAGGUCAGUUUCUAUCUUUAAUUACAAAAGUUAAGUUUAGUACGAAAGGACCAACUUUAUAGUAUCUAGUACAAAUUAUGAUUAAAUAUAAUACUUAAAUUAAUUUACUAAAAAUCAAAUUAGCAAAAUAUGCAAUUGACUUAGGAUCAAUAGAUAUAGGUGCAAAUCCUUUAUUUGAUAUAUCUUUAUAUAAAGAUGGCAGAUUAAGUGCAUUAGGUUAG